Molecule: ribosomal RNA, 468 nt
Filed under: uncultured bacterium
Lineage: Bacteria
Description: partial 16S ribosomal RNA
Rfam family: Bacterial small subunit ribosomal RNA
Source: RNAcentral
GACGAACGCUGGCGGCGCGCCUAACACAUGCAAGUCGAACGGAGUCAAGAGGAGCUUGCUUUUCUUGACUUAGUGGCGAACGGGUGAGUAACGCGUGAGUAACCUGCCCUGGAGUGGGGGACAACAGUUGGAAACGACUGCUAAUACCGCAUAAGCCCACGGAUCCGCAUGGAUCUGCGGGAAAAGGAUUUAUUCGCUUCAGGAUGGACUCGCGUCCAAUUAGCUAGUUGGUGAGGUAACGGCCCACCAAGGCGACGAUUGGUAGCCGGACUGAGAGGUUGAGCGGCCACAGUGGGACUGAGACACGGCCCAGACUCCUACGGGAGGCAGCAGUGGGGGAUAUUGCACAAUGGGGGAAACCCUGAUGCAGCGACGCCGCGUGGAGGAAGAAGGUUUUCGGAUUGUAAACUCCUGUCGUUAGGGACGAUAAUGACGGUACCUAACAAGAAAGCACCGGCUAACUACGUG